This 253-nucleotide ribosomal RNA is filed under the name uncultured bacterium. RNAcentral's name for it is "partial 16S ribosomal RNA". It matches the Rfam family "Bacterial small subunit ribosomal RNA", at positions 524 to 776 of the family's 1533-position model. The record is from RNAcentral.
UACGUAGGUGGCAAGCGUUGUCCGGAUUUACUGGGCGUAAAGAGCGCGCAGGCGGUCGUUCAAGUCACGUGUGAAAGCCCCCGGCUCAACUGGGGAGGGUCACGCGAUACUGAUCGACUCGAAGGCAGGAGAGGGUAGUGGAAUUCCCGGUGUAGUGGUGAAAUGCGUAGAGAUGUGGAGGAACACCGAUGGCGAAGGCAGCCCCCUGGGCUAACACUGACGCUCAUGCACGAAAGCGUGGGGAGCAAACAGG